Molecule: non-coding RNA, 185 nt
Filed under: Capsicum annuum
Lineage: Eukaryota; Viridiplantae; Streptophyta; Magnoliopsida; Solanales; Solanaceae
Description: Bacterial small subunit ribosomal RNA
Rfam family: Bacterial small subunit ribosomal RNA
Source: Rfam by way of RNAcentral
UGAGUAACGCGUAAGAAGUUAUUCUUGCAAGGAGAACAACAGCUGAAAACGGCUGCUAAUACCCGUAGGUUGAGGAGCAAAAGGAGGAAGCCGUCAGAGGAGAGGCUCACAUCUGAUUAGUUAAUUGAUAAGGCAAUAGUUUACCAAAUAAUGAUCAGUAGCUGAUUUGAGAGGAUGAUCAACUA